UGGUUCUGGCAUCGAUGAAGAACGCAGCGAAAUGCGAUAAGUAAUGCGAAUUGCAGAAUCCGUGAGUCAUCGAAUCUUUGAACGCAUAUUGCGCCCUUUGGCAUUCCGAAGGGCAUGCCUGUCCGAGCGUCAUUAUCCACCCCUCAAACUUUCGGUUUGGUGUUGGACUCAACCGCCAGCUUUGGCACGGUUGGUCUCGAAGAUAGUGACGACGUCCUGGAAGGAACCGGUACGAGGAGCUUUUCGUUAAGCAUGUACGCGGGACGAUUCUGGCGACGGCGGUCUCCUUUAUUACUUUUGUAGUGUUGACCUCGGAUCAGGUAGGAAUACCCGCUGA
Molecule: unclassified non-coding RNA, 337 nt
Filed under: uncultured fungus
Lineage: Eukaryota; Fungi
Description: partial contains 5.8S ribosomal RNA and internal transcribed spacer 2
Rfam family: 5.8S ribosomal RNA (bases 1-132)
Source: RNAcentral